GUAGGUGAACCUGCGGAAGGAUCAUUACCGAGUGAGGGCCCUCUGGGUCCAACCUCCCACCCGUGUUUAACGAACCUUGUUGCUUCGGCGGGCCCGCCUCACGGCCGCCGGGGGGCAUCCGCCCCCGGGCCCGCGCCCGCCGAAGACACCUGUGAACACUGUCUGAAGUUGCAGUCUGAGAAACUAGCUAAAUUAGUUAAAACUUUCAACAACGGAUCUCUUGGUUCCG
This 229-nucleotide unclassified non-coding RNA is filed under the name rhizosphere metagenome. RNAcentral's name for it is "partial ribosomal RNA internal transcribed spacer region". The record is from RNAcentral.